AUCGCUUCUCAACCUUUUGGCUAAGAUCAAGUGUACUAUCUGUUCUUAUCAGUUUAAUAUCUGAUACAUCCUUCAUCCAAGGACAAUAUAUUAAAUAGAUUUUGGAGCAGAGAGAUGGAAUAGAAGCUUGCUCCAUCCACUCCAUGCAUCGACCUGGUACUGCAGUACCUCCAGGAACAGUGCACCCCCU
Small nuclear RNA from Colobus angolensis palliatus, 190 nucleotides. Its record names the gene U2. It matches the Rfam family "U2 spliceosomal RNA". Rfam says of the family: U2 is a small nuclear RNA (snRNA) component of the spliceosome (involved in pre-mRNA splicing). Complementary binding between U2 snRNA (in an area lying towards the 5' end but 3' to hairpin I) and the branchpoint sequence (BPS) of the intron results the bulging out of an unpaired adenosine, on the BPS, which initiates a nucleophilic attack at the intronic 5' splice site, thus starting the first of two transesterification reactions that mediate splicing. Lineage: Eukaryota; Metazoa; Chordata; Mammalia; Primates; Cercopithecidae. The record is from Ensembl.